Long non-coding RNA from Mastomys coucha (southern multimammate mouse), 530 nucleotides. RefSeq lists it as uncharacterized. The transcript has 2 exons. The record is from RefSeq and is a predicted model, not a curated record. Lineage: Eukaryota; Metazoa; Chordata; Mammalia; Rodentia; Muridae.
GCCCAAAGUGACAAUGUGCUGUGCUUUCCGAAGCUCUCAGUCGGCUAAUUAUACUGCAUUGAAGAGCCUUCCCUGUAUCUCUAUAGUGGAUUUUAUGGCUAACUUUAUUGAAAUAUUUCUCCUUUGUUAUCUAGGACUUAGCAGCUUUUCUCUUUCUAAUGCUUGACUACGUAGACAGGAAAUCAAGUUGAUAAUGUCUCCUGGAUCAUAACAAGCUCAUCUAUUUGCAGUAGUAAAGAUCUGUGGUAAGAGCAAGGGCCAAGCGAGUGCAUGUCAGAUGUGCUGCCUGGUCCCAAGACAGCAGGCAACAUGAAAGAAAAAAGCCAAGUUCAAGACCUUGCCGAGGACAACAAGCUGCAGCGCCAGCCACCCAGCUGAGUGACACCAAGCCUGUAAUGGAACAUUACUUGUUGAGCUGCCAUGAUGUGAAUUGCUCUCUGAUGUCCCCCCUCAGGAUGGCUUAAAACAGCUGUAACCAUAAGGUUUACAAACUAUUUCUCAUUAAAGCUUGUCAACAAGCAGCAACGCAA